RNAcentral lists this ribosomal RNA (116 nucleotides) under Pteropus alecto (black flying fox). The record is from RNAcentral. Lineage: Eukaryota; Metazoa; Chordata; Mammalia; Chiroptera; Pteropodidae.
GUCUAUGGCCAUGACACCCUGAACAAGCCCGAUGUCUGAUCUUGGAAGCUAAGCACGGUCGGGCCUGGUUAGUACUUGGAUGGGAGAACACCUAGGAAGACCAGGUGCUAUAGGCA